UACGUAGGGGGCAAGCGUUAUCCGGAUUUACUGGGUGUAAAGGGAGCGUAGACGGCGAUGCAAGUCUGAAGUGAAAGGCGGGGGCCCAACCCCCGGACUGCUUUGGGAACUGUAUGGCUGGAGUGCAGGAGAGGUAAGUGGAAUUCCUAGUGUAGCGGUGAAAUGCGUAGAUAUUAGGAGGAACACCAGUGGCGAAGGCGGCUUACUGGACUGUAACUGACGUUGAGGCUCGAAAGCGUGGGGAGCAAACAGG
RNAcentral lists this ribosomal RNA (253 nucleotides) under uncultured bacterium. RNAcentral describes it as "partial 16S ribosomal RNA". It matches the Rfam family "Bacterial small subunit ribosomal RNA", at positions 524 to 776 of the family's 1533-position model. The record is from RNAcentral.